Molecule: unclassified non-coding RNA, 344 nt
Filed under: Hevea brasiliensis (rubber tree)
Lineage: Eukaryota; Viridiplantae; Streptophyta; Magnoliopsida; Malpighiales; Euphorbiaceae
Source: RNAcentral
CUAGAUCAAACACAAGCGCCUUUUUUCUGAAAUUUAUGUUCUGAACAGUUAAAUCGUUUCAAAGUCUUUUGUUUAUAGCUCAAAUAUAUAGCUUCGUUUGUGUUGUUUCUUAAUAUGGACGAGGUUGGUGUCUUAACAGAGAGUUUUGGAUUAAAACAGCAAGGCAAAUUGGCUCGGAUGGCCGCUUGGAAACCACCCAAUAACACCACCAGUGCCCGAGCCCAAAAUUUCGCUUCAAAUUCAACCUUAGACCAAAACUCGUCUUCAUAUUCUUCGAGAUCUUCCCAAAAUUCCAAUUCAGUUAAUGGGUAUUUUUUUUAUGAUCAUGAAACUCUUUAUAGCAG